UUUGAGAAAGUUUUCCGUUGGACACGACUGCCCCUUCUUGCACCUCUGCAAUCCUUCUCACCACUGAGACCUCUGCACUACUGCAGCCUUGAAAGCUUGUCUACAAACAGAUCCUAUCAACUCUAGAUAGACCAAGCCGAUACACGGCUUAAACUAAGAACAAGGAUAUUGAUUACCGACUAUCAAGUUUCCAGCAUAAUACAAUUUAUGAACAAUACAAAAGGGUUGCUGGAAAGAAACUCAAAAUCGCUAUUGAGUAGAACGUAUGAGACUAAUUAAAGCUUUUCCAAGUUCCGUCUUCCAAUAACCGAGCAGGAAAGAUAUAUAUAGUAGAGCUUCCAACGGCUAUGAGAGGGCUGAUUCCAUGAAAUCCUCAGUCACAAGAAAUCAGCACCAAAUCGAUAGAUAUAUUGUUUCCUUGAUAAGCUCAACCGAAAAGAUAUGAUAUCAAUCAUCUGAUCUGAAGGGAUACGAAAGAUAUGGUUUGUUAAAAAUAUACUAUAUUUAGAGCAUAUACCUUUUGAAGCUUCUAGUUCAAAUUUGAAUCAACUAAUCAGUUGACCAAAUUUCAUUCCCUGUCAAUCAAUUGAGAUGAGAUUACAGCAAACAUGCAAUAUAGAUUUAUAUGGACUGUUAUAUGUUACCAUAAUGUCCACCCACAAUUCAUGCAUAUAAUAAAUAUUAUAUACUGCCAAUAUUCAUGCAUAUUAUAUUAUCAUAGUUACAACCAUAAUCCAUGCAUAUUAAUUAUAAUAUUAUAACAAACCAUGAACCAUGCACAUGUCUAAUAUACUUAAAUUAGUCAUCAUUCAAAACAUCAUAAAAUCAAAAACCAACAUUCUCCCCUUUUUUGAUGAUGACAAUUUAUGCACCAACAUGCUCCCCCUAAGUAUAUGGCUCCCCCUAAAUUUAUGCAUAUUAAGGACAAAAUUACUUUAUCCAAAAAAAACAUCAUUGCAUAUUCCAGUAUAAUAUAGUAUCUCAAUAUCAACAUGAAUACCAAUUCAAACCAAUUUAAAUAUACCCAAAUAUCUCUCCCCCUUUGUCAUUAUCAAAAAGAAAUAAAUCAUCAAGUUAUAUCUCUCCCCCUUUGUCAUCAACAAAAAAUAAUUCAUAUCAAUUAAGUUGAAGAUAGUUAUCUCACCCCAUUUGCCAAAUUAAAAAAUAAGCAUAAAGAAUGACAAUAGAACAAGGUUAUAACAAAAUCACAUAUAGCAAGUAAACAAUAUAAUCAUACCUUUGAAAUUUGUUACCUCUAUAUCAACCUUUUAUCAAGAUUAUCACGUGUAUUAAAUAUGGAGCAUUUGACAUAAUAAAUGAUGUUAUGAACCCUUGAAAUCCAUAGAGUUUUUAUAAUAAUAUAUCUAAUUAAAACUCUAUUUAAACAACAACAUGAGGUACUUACAUAUUCUACCAAAUAAUUUAUAGGUAACUUAUUCUCUCAAAGUAAAGAAUCAUCCAUCUCCUUUUUGAUCUUGAGACACCUACAAACAAAUAGUCUCUAUCUUUUUGGUACCCAAAUCUUCUUGGGUCCUUUUGGGUUAGUAGCAUAUAAAUCACUUUUCUUUACCCAAAUUUGUUUUAUUCUAAUUUUAUUGCAAUUAGAAUCAAAAUGACCUUUAAAACCACAUUUUUUACAAGUAACAAAUGGUGAACAAUAAAGUGGUUUAUGCCUUGAUUUACUAUUAAUCAUUCUAAUAUUAUUAUUAGUCCUAUUUUCCACAUUUUUAAUAAGAUUAUACCCAAUCCCUUGUUUAUCAAGACUGGACCUUUGUGCACCUAACAUAACAUUUAGGUUCUCUUCUCCUUGCACAAAUUUAGCAAGAUCAUUUUUUAAAGAUGCUAUUUCUGCAUUUAUUACAUUAUCAUCAUGUUGCAUAUUCAUAAUUUUUCCAUCAUUAAAAGCAUCUAUGCAUACAUCUCUCAUUUUUAAUUUUUCUUUUAAAAUUUGAUUUUCAUUUUUAAGAUAUUCAUUUUCUUUUCUUUCUUCAAUAAGUGACUUAACUCCAUUCAUUAGCUCAUUUACGCAGUUCUUAAAAUAAGCAGUUUUCUUUUUAAGCCUUUGAUUUUCAUUUUGUAAAGCAAUAUAAUCAGGCAUAGAUAUUUCAAAAUUUUCAUGAAAAUUCGUUACCUCAAGUUGAUCAUCAUCUUCUACUCCCAUGAAACAUAAUUGGCCAAUUUCUUCAUCUUGUUCUGUUUUGGACUUGUUCAUUGGAGUUGAAAUACCUUCUUGAUUCUUCCUUUGUUUCUUUCUUUGAAGUAGUCUCUCGAGUUUUCUUGAGAGCAUUUCAAUUUCUUCAUCAAAAUCUUCAUCAUUGCCUUCUAUGUAGCUUUCAGCCUGUAGAGCCAAGGUCUUCUUCUUAGGUGCCUCAUCUUCUUCAUCGUACAAUUUUAAUUGGUUUUCAAACUCUUCAAGUUCUCCAAAUGAGGUAAGAGUUUCCAUUGUGCUAAUUGUGACUAAGUCUUGAAGUGUAGUAACCUUUGGAGCGAAUCGCUUUGGCAUGACUCUGAGAAGCUUUCGAUUGAUUUCCUUUUGAUCAAUCUUUCUUCCGAGCAUGCUUAGAGAAUUCAUUAGAGUAAGGAACCUUGCUUGUGAAUCUCUAAUUGAUUCAUUUUUCUCUAAUUUGAAUAGUUCGUAUUCGUGCAUUAGCAUGCUCAGCUUGACCUCCUUCACUUUAGUAGUACCUUCAUGGCUCAUGAUGACUGUGUCCCAAAUUUCCUUAGCCGUAGUACAAGAAGAUACUUUAUCUAUCUCUGACUGAACCAUGCUACUUAAAAGUGUAUUCAUGGCCUUGGAAUUAUAAGAUACCAUAUACAAUUCAUUUGAGUCCAUUUCCAUAAGAUUCUUUGGCUUGCCAUCAUCAUGUCGCGGAAUGACUGGUCCAUUUUCGACUACCCACCAUUCCCAUGGGUCACGGUUCAGAUAGAUCUUCAUUUUGAACUUCCAAAAAUUGAAGUUUUCACUUCCGAGCAACAACGGUGACCUACUUGUGGACUGACCUUCUUGAAAGUUUAGGUGUGCCAUAGGAUCUUCCCCUACGUCCUGCAACGAUCAAUAUUAGUAGAGCCUUGCUUUGAUACCAAAUGUAAUUCUAUGUAUGUGCACACCUAGAGGGGGGGGGGUGAAUAGGUGUUUAAGCUUAAAGUGAUAAAUAGUGAAAACUUUUUGAAAUUUUCUGCUACAGGUAUAAUUCAGACAGCUACACCUGUCUGUUUUAGCUUAUGUUCUUCGUUUCUUAUUAUCAGAUAGCUAAACCUGUCUGCUUUAGUGUCUGGAUAGUGGCGUGAAUAACAAAGAAGUGCAGAACGUGAAUGACAGUUAAAGAGAUAAACGGAAGUAAAAAUCACACCAAGAUUUUUACGUGGUUCGGACCCUAUCCUCUAUCUAGUGGCCUAAUCCACGUCCAAUACCAAUUAGUAUUGGAGACUCUAUUUAUUUCAAUUUAACUUAGUUAAAUACAAAAUAACUCCCUGUUUGAGAAAGCUUUCCGUUGGACACGACUGCCCCUUCUUGCACCUCUGCAAUCCUUCUCACCACUGAGACCUCUGCACUACUGCAGCCUUGAAAGCUUGUCUACAAACAGAUCCUAUCAACUCUAGAUAGACCAAGCCGAUACACGGCUUAAACUAAGAACAAGGAUAUUGAUUACCGACUAUCAAGUUUCCAGCAUAAUACAAUUUAAGAACAAUACAAAAGGGUUGCUGGAAAGAAACUCAGAAUCGCUAUUGAAUAGAACGUAUGAGACUAAUUAAAGCUUUUCCAAGUUCCGUCUUCCAAUAGCCGAGCAAGAGAGAUAUAUAUAGUAGAG
This 3809-nucleotide long non-coding RNA is filed under the name Panax ginseng (ginseng). RNAcentral describes it as "long non-coding RNA (PGIN_LNC010649)". Lineage: Eukaryota; Viridiplantae; Streptophyta; Magnoliopsida; Apiales; Araliaceae. The record is from RNAcentral.